UACGUAGGGGGCUAGCGUUGUCCGGAAUCAUUGGGCGUAAAGCGCGUGUAGGCGGUCCGGUAAGUCCGCUGUGAAAGUCGGGGGCUCAACCCUCGAAUGCCUGUGGAUACUGUCGGGCUAGAGUGCGGAAGAGGCGAGUGGAAUUCCUGGUGUAGCGGUGAAAUGCGCAGAUAUCAGGAGGAACACCAAUUGCGAAGGCAGCUCGCUGGGACGUAACUGACGCUGAGACGCGAAAGCGUGGGGAGCAAACAGG
RNAcentral lists this ribosomal RNA (253 nucleotides) under uncultured bacterium. Its description in RNAcentral is "partial 16S ribosomal RNA". It matches the Rfam family "Bacterial small subunit ribosomal RNA", at positions 524 to 776 of the family's 1533-position model. The record is from RNAcentral.